UAUGGUCGCCAUUACAAGAUGACGCUGGCUCCACUGUGGUCUGUGACAAACAACUUCUUAUCUGGGAAAGUUGGCACAUGAUUUUUCACCACCCUGUGAGAAAGCUCCAUGCGGCAGCUUUGCAUUGGGGCUUGGGAUGCUUUAUUAAGGCUGGGAGGGGCAUCCGAGAGAGAGAAGAAGAAAUAUCCAGGGCCUGAAUAAACUGUUGAAAGAAGAUUCCCGAGUUGCGUCUUCCUUGCGGGCAAGGGGUCGCGACAAGUGGUGCCGAGACCCGGGAACCAGAACUUUCAGCAGUCAGGGGUGGUGCACCGGUUAGUCCCAGAUUUUAUGAUUCCAGAAAUGCCUCCCGCAUCAUUGGAGAGUAUCUAUCCGGAACCUGGUCCAUGGAAGCAGAAAACUUGAUCCAGUCUCAACUAACUCAGAUUGCUGUUUUGAAUAGUACCCGUGUUGAACCAGUGACUUUGGGUCAAUUCACCGAUUGGAUAUCUUCUGCUUUUUCCUUCUUCAAAGAGUGGGUGGGAGUAGGCAUUUUUGGUGCAAUGUGUUGCUUCGGUGUUGUACUCUGUUUUUGGCUUCUCUGUCGCCUUAAAACUCUCCAUGCACAAGAAAAGGCUAUGAUCAUACAAGCUCUUGCAGCUUUAGAAAAUGGCAACUCGCCUCAAGUCUGGCUUGCGCAUCUUAAGCAGUAAACCUUUGUCAUGUUCGUUACACCCCAAGUUAUUAUAACAUUGCACUGGGAUCGACAUGACUUUCCUUGUUAUUCUCUUAGUGUUGGAAAGCCCUUGCACUCUGCCGGUCUUACUGCCAUUGCACGCAGAUGGGUUUCCACACUAGUGCUUUUCUAUCGCCUUAAAGUCCGUGCCUUUCUUUCAGGGUGCUGUCAACUUGUUUGUCGUUAUAAACAGCCACAGUUCAGCCUCAGCUAUCCCCCUUCGUCCACCAUCGUCACGAUACAGGAUGCGAGGCAAGGCACUGCACUUGAGUGAUCCUUGACGUGGACCUCAAGGAGAGCAUGUCCUAUUGCAUGCGGGUUAGACGCGUCCACGCCCCGCCCCACGAAAAAAGGCGUCGGCUGAUAUGGCCUCAGAUCUGGGGAAGGGCCCUCCUUAGGACUGAGUCAUACUAUGCAGCCACUUCUGCACAGUGGGAUAGGACCUCUACUCUCGCCUGUAUUGUUUUAAGAAAACAGAAAGGGGGAACUGUGGUGAGCCGCUUCUGCCGUUUCUGCAGACUAUGGUCGCCAUUACAAGAUGACGCUGGCUCCGCUGUGGUCUGUGACAAACAACUUCUUAUCUGGGAAAGUUGGCACAUGAUUUUUCACCACCCUGUGAGAAAGCUCCAUGCGGCAGCUUUGCAUUGGGGCUUGGGAUGCUUUAUUAAGGCUGGGAGGGGCAUCCGAGAGAGAGAAGAAGAAAUAUCCAGGGCCUGAAUAAACUGUUGAAAGAAGA
Long non-coding RNA from Marmota monax (woodchuck), 1448 nucleotides. RefSeq lists it as uncharacterized. The record is from RefSeq and is a predicted model, not a curated record. NCBI's taxonomy places the organism in Eukaryota, Metazoa, Chordata, Mammalia, Rodentia, Sciuridae. The transcript is spliced from 2 exons.